Molecule: ribosomal RNA, 329 nt
Filed under: uncultured Ruminococcus sp.
Lineage: Bacteria; Bacillati; Bacillota; Clostridia; Eubacteriales; Oscillospiraceae
Description: partial 16S ribosomal RNA
Source: RNAcentral
GGAGUCUGGGCCGUAUCUCAGUCCCAAUGUGGCCGUUCAACCUCUCAGUCCGGCUACUGAUCGUCGCCUUGGUGGGCCGUUACCCCGCCAACAAGCUAAUCAGAUAUGAGCCCAUCUUUCAGCGGAUUGCUCCUUUGGUAUCACGAGGAUGCCCCCACGAUACGUUACGCGGUAUUAGCAGUCGUUUCCAACUGUUGUCCCCCUCUGAAAGGCAGGUUGCUCAUACAUUACUCACCCGUCCGCCACUAAGUCAUACGGUCCUUCGACGAAUCUCCGGUCCAUAUGCUUCGUUCGACUUGCAUGUGUUAGGCACGCCGCCAGCGUUCAUC